RNAcentral lists this transfer RNA (70 nucleotides) under Acanthogobius hasta (javeline goby). RNAcentral's name for it is "tRNA-Tyr". It matches the Rfam family "tRNA". Rfam says of the family: Transfer RNA (tRNA) molecules are approximately 80 nucleotides in length. Their secondary structure includes four short double-helical elements and three loops (D, anti-codon, and T loops). The record is from RNAcentral. RNAcentral also lists the same sequence under 2 other names. Lineage: Eukaryota; Metazoa; Chordata; Actinopteri; Gobiiformes; Gobiidae.
GGUAAAAUGACUGAGAGAUAAGUGGUGGAUUGUAGCCCCAUGAACAGAGGUUUAAGUCCUCUUUUUACCA